This 254-nucleotide ribosomal RNA is filed under the name uncultured bacterium. Its description in RNAcentral is "partial 16S ribosomal RNA". It matches the Rfam family "Bacterial small subunit ribosomal RNA", at positions 524 to 776 of the family's 1533-position model. The record is from RNAcentral.
UACGUAGGGUGCAAGCGUUGUCCGGAAUUAUUGGGCGUAAAGGGCUCGUAGGCGGUCCGUCACGUCGGGAGUGAAAACUUGGGGCUUAACCCCAAGCCUGCUUCCGAUACGGGCGGACUAGAGGUAGGCAGGGGGAGAACGGAAUUCCUGGUGUAGCGGUGAAAUGCGCAGAUAUCAGGAGGAACACCGGUGGCGAAGGCGGUUCUCUGGGCCUUACCUGACGCUGAGGAGCGAAAGCAUGGGGAGCAAACAGG